ACUCCUACGGGAGGCAGCAGUGGGGAAUAUUGCACAAUGGGCGCAAGCCUGAUGCAGCAACGCCGCGUGAGGGACGACGGCCUUCGGGUUGUAAACCUCUUUUAGUAGGGAAGAAGCGAAAGUGACGGUACCUGCAGAAAAAGCACCGGCUAACUACGUGCCAGCAGCCGCGGUAAUACGUAGGGUGCAAGCGUUAUCCGGAAUUAUUGGGCGUAAAGAGCUCGUAGGCGGUUUGUCGCGUCUGCUGUGAAAACUGGAGGCUCAACCUCCAGCCUGCAGUGGGUACGGGCAAACUAGAGUGCGGUAGGGGAGAUUGGAAUUCCUGGUGUAGCGGUGGAAUGCGCAGAUAUCAGGAGGAACACCGAUGGCGAAGGCAGAUCUCUGGGCCGUAACUGACGCUGAGGAGCGAAAGCAUGGGGAGCGAACAGGAUUAGAUACCCUGGUAGUCCAUGCCGUAAACGUUGGGCGCUAGAUGUGGGGACCAUUCCACGGUUUCCGUGUCGCAGCUAACGCAUUAAGCGCCCCGCCUGGGGAGUACGGCCGCAAGGCUAAAACUCAAAGGAAUUGACGGGGGCCCGCACAAGCGGCGGAGCAUGCGGAUUAAUUCGAUGCAACGCGAAGAACCUUACCAAGGCUUGACAUAUACCUGAAAAGGCUGGAAACAGUCUCCCCGCAAGGCAGGUAUACAGGUGGUGCAUGGUUGUCGUCAGCUCGUGUCGUGAGAUGUUGGGUUAAGUCCCGCAACGAGCGCAACCCUCGUUCUAUGUUGCCAGCACGUAAUGGUGGGAACUCAUAGGAGACUGCCGGGGUCAACUCGGA
RNAcentral lists this ribosomal RNA (819 nucleotides) under uncultured Actinomycetes bacterium. RNAcentral describes it as "bacterial SSU rRNA". It matches the Rfam family "Bacterial small subunit ribosomal RNA", at positions 335 to 1167 of the family's 1533-position model. Lineage: Bacteria; Bacillati; Actinomycetota; Actinomycetes. The record is from RNAcentral.